Molecule: unclassified non-coding RNA, 525 nt
Filed under: Hevea brasiliensis (rubber tree)
Lineage: Eukaryota; Viridiplantae; Streptophyta; Magnoliopsida; Malpighiales; Euphorbiaceae
Source: RNAcentral
UGUGAAACAGCAGACGCUAUCUCAGCAGUAUAAACCCUUGCCUGAUCCUCACUGAAGAUCCCCUGCCGAUAAAGAUGAAAGAAGAGAUGACCACCAUUUAUAAAAUCCAGGAUCAAAUAAAGCUUAGCCUUGGUCUGGAAAGAGUAACGAAGCUGAACAAUAAAGGGAUGCACGACUUUGGUGAGGAUAUCCCUCUCAGCCUUCAUGUAAUCGACAUGAUUCUUUUUGAUAAUAGUAUCCUUUCUCAUCACUUUCAUUGCAUAAAUCCCAUCCCCAUCUCCACAAUUACUCCUUUUGUAUUUCACUUGAAACACCUUACCAAAGGCUCCCUGCCCAACAACUCUCAGGAUCUCGAAAUCACCAGGCCCAAUCUUACUACCCACUUGCUCACUCUUCCCCUUCUUGUCAUCCUCCUCAACAAUAACCUCAUUUUCAUUUUCGAGAUCCUCUUCUUGGAUUUGAAAAGGGGAAGAAGAGGAGGGGGUGUAGCGAGGGGAGGGACCCACGAACGAAUGGGAACGGUUG